This 243-nucleotide unclassified non-coding RNA is filed under the name plant metagenome. Its description in RNAcentral is "partial contains small subunit ribosomal RNA, internal transcribed spacer 1, and 5.8S ribosomal RNA". The record is from RNAcentral.
UCUCCGUUGGUGAACCAGCGGAGGGAUCAUUACCGAGUUUACAACUCCCAAACCCAAUGUGAACAUACCAAACUGUUGCCUCGGCGGGGUCACGCCCCGGGUGCGUCGCAGCCCCGGAACCAGGCGCCCGCCGGAGGGACCAACCAAACUCUUUCUGUAGUCCCCUCGCGGACGUUAUUUUUACAGCCCUGAGCAAAAAUUCAAAAUGAAUCAAAACUUUCAACAACGGAUCUCUUGGUUCUG